ACGCUGGUGGCGUGCCUAAUACAUGCAAGUAGAACGCUGAAGAGAGGAGCUUGCUCUUCUUGGAUGAGUUGCGAACGGGUGAGUAACGCGUAGGUAACCUGCCUUGUAGCGGGGGAUAACUAUUGGAAACGAUAGCUAAUACCGCAUAACAAUGGGUGACACAUGUCAUUUGUUUGAAAGGGGCAAUUGCUCCACUACAAGAUGGACCUGCGUUGUAUUAGCUAGUAGGUGAGGUAACGGCUCACCUAGGCGACGAUACAUAGCCGACCUGAGAGGGUGAUCGGCCACACUGGGACUGAGACACGGCCCAGACUCCUACGGGAGGCAGCAGUAGGGAAUCUUCGGCAAUGGGGGCAACCCUGACCGAGCAGCGCCGCGUGAGUGAAGAAGGUUUUCGGAUCGUAAAGCUCUGUUGUAAGUCAAGAACGAGUGUGAGAGUGGAAAGUUCACACUGUGACGGUAGCUUACCAGAAAGGGACGGCUAACUACGUGCCAGCAGCCGCGGUAAUACGUAGGUCCCGAGCGUUGUCCGGAUUUAUUGGGCGUAAAGCGAGCGCAGGCGGUUUGAUAAGUCUGAAGUUAAAGGCUGUGGCUCAACCAUAGUUCGCUUUGGAAACUGUCAAACUUGAGUGCAGAAGGGGAGAGUGGAAUUCCAUGUGUAGCGGUGAAAUGCGUAGAUAUAUGGAGGAACACCGGUGGCGAAAGCGGCUCUCUGGUCUGUAACUGACGCUGAGGCUCGAAAGCGUGGGGAGCGAACAGGAUUAGAUACCCUGGUAGUCCACGCCGUAAACGAUGAGUGCUAGGUGUUGGAUCCUUUCCGGGAUUCAGUGCCGCAGCUAACGCAUUAAGCACUCCGCCUGGGGAGUACGACCGCAAGGUUGAAACUCAAAGGAAUUGACGGGGGCCCGCACAA
RNAcentral lists this ribosomal RNA (913 nucleotides) under uncultured bacterium. RNAcentral's name for it is "bacterial SSU rRNA". It matches the Rfam family "Bacterial small subunit ribosomal RNA", at positions 33 to 928 of the family's 1533-position model. The record is from RNAcentral.